ACAAAAAACGUAUGACUAAUCAAUGUACUGAGACACCUGUUAUUGAUGUGGUAAUAUAUACAACUCUAUAUCGUUGUAACCGGAUUGUUCGUGACUGACAAACAUAUGCUGAACAUCAUCAUCAUCUCGAAUCUUCUUCUGAUAAAAGUUUACUUGGUUUUCUGCAAACCAAACCAGAUUUUUAUAGAUGAUCUGACCCACAUUACUGCACUGCAAUUUCUUUUCUAUUCUUUGUUUCAGAUGUGAAAAAUUUGAUCGUCAAUUUAUU
RNAcentral lists this long non-coding RNA (268 nucleotides) under Lathyrus oleraceus (garden pea). RNAcentral describes it as "Pisum sativum (pea) long non-coding RNA (PSAT_LNC018960)". Lineage: Eukaryota; Viridiplantae; Streptophyta; Magnoliopsida; Fabales; Fabaceae. The record is from RNAcentral.